RNAcentral lists this long non-coding RNA (1436 nucleotides) under Macaca fascicularis (crab-eating macaque). RNAcentral describes it as "lncRNA (ENSMFAG00000052738.1)". Lineage: Eukaryota; Metazoa; Chordata; Mammalia; Primates; Cercopithecidae. The record is from RNAcentral.
GGUCUCAGCCACAGCUGAUGUCUUCCUCUCCUAGCCAUUCUAGAUUUCCCACACCCUCAGCUAGCACCUCUACUGCCCCUGAUGGCUUACCCGGGCCCUAAUAUCUGAGAGGGUCUAAGCCCUUAGUCACUUUGCCUUUCUAUGACUGGAAGCUACAUUUAUUUCUUGUCAAAACUGGACAAGCAUGUACUAAAAAAGAUCCAUCACAGAUAACCUGGGAGUCACAUGUAUUCCUCCUUGGCCCUAUCUCUUCCUAGUGACUAGAGUCAAGUAUCCCUGCUGUAUAACUUCUUUCCUUACCUACUGGUCUCUUGGCAAAAUAAGCUCAAAGUGACUAGGUGGAAGCUAUGUCUCUUCCUGUGUCUCUGGUGGAUGUACUCCCCUCCUGCAAAUGAGAACCUCUAAACAUACAGGUCUCAGAGUUGAGAAGGAUGAGAAACACAAAUACCCCAAGUGGGUCACUGGGAGCGAUGGUGAGACACUUCUUUCCACACUUAGUUCCUUGAAGGGCAAUCUAUUAUUAUCUAUUGCUGCGUAGCAUAUUACCCCGAAACUUAGUAGCUCAAGACAGCACAUAUUUCUUUCUUUUUUGUGUCUGUGUUCGUAGAGACAGGGUAUGUCAGUGUUUCCCAGGCUGGUCUCCAACUCUUGACCUCAAGUGAUCCUUCCUCCUUGGCCUCCCAAAGUGCUGGGAUUAUAGGCGUGAGCCACUGCACCCGGCCAACAAGUGUUUGUUAUUGCACAGUUCCUAUGGGCCAGGAAUACAGGUGCAGCUUAACUAGGUCCCUGUGGCUCAAGAUCUUUCAUGAAUUUGCUGUCGGGUUGUUUGACCAAGACUGCAGUCUCAUUGUGAGGCUCAAAUGAGGGAAUAUUAUUUUCCAAGAUCACUCACAUGGUUGUUAGUAGGCCCCAGCCCCCUUUCACAUGGGUCUGUCCACAGGGAUACCUCACAUUAUGACAUCCAGCUUCCAAGCAAGCAAGCCAAAAGAUGGUGAAAAAGAAAGCAUCUGAAACAAAUCUUCUUAUAAUUUAGUGUUAGAAGUGACAGCCUAUCACUUCUACCAUAUUCUGUUAUUAUAAGUCAGUCAAUAAGUUCACACUCAAGAGGCAGAGAUUACACGAAGAUGUGAAUAAUAGGAGUCAGGGAUCACUGAGUCUCAUCUUAGAGGCUGCUUGUCCCACCAUGUUUGCAGGGUAUUGUCUCCAAGUUGGUACCUCAAUUUUAUCUUCAAAGGUCAUUCCAUUAUGCUAUCAGGCUGGCAGCUUCUAGAUGUUACAGAAUGUGAUAAUGCCACACUAGAUACCCAUGCUUAGUAUCUGUCUUAGUCUGCUUUAAGUGCUAAGGCUGCAUACCACAGGACUGGAUACUUUAUAAAGAAAACUUUAUUUAGAGUUCCAGAGGCUGGGAAGCCCAGGAGCAUGGUGCUAGCAUCUGG